RNAcentral lists this ribosomal RNA (375 nucleotides) under uncultured Desulfovibrio sp. Its description in RNAcentral is "bacterial SSU rRNA". It matches the Rfam family "Bacterial small subunit ribosomal RNA", at positions 355 to 725 of the family's 1533-position model. The record is from RNAcentral. Lineage: Bacteria; Pseudomonadati; Thermodesulfobacteriota; Desulfovibrionia; Desulfovibrionales; Desulfovibrionaceae.
UGGGGAAUAUUGCGCAAUGGGCGAAAGCCUGACGCAGCGACGCCGCGUGAGGGAUGAAGGUCUUCGGAUCGUAAACCUCUGUCAGAAGGGAAGAAACUAGGGUGCUCUAAUCAUCAUCCUACUGACGGUACCUUCAAAGGAAGCACCGGCUAACUCCGUGCCAGCAGCCGCGGUAAUACGGAGGAUGCGAGCGUUAUCCGGAUUUAUUGGGUUUAAAGGGUGCGCAGGCGGCGCGCCAAGUCAGCGGUCAAAGUUCCGGGCUCAACCCGGUGUCGCCGUUGAAACUGGCGUGCUCGAGUGCGUGCGAGGAAGCGGAAUGCGUUGUGUAGCGGUGAAAUGCAUAGAUAUGACGCAGAACUCGAUUGCGAAGGCAGC